RNAcentral lists this long non-coding RNA (1538 nucleotides) under Gossypium raimondii (Peruvian cotton). Its description in RNAcentral is "long non-coding RNA (GRAI_LNC007108)". The record is from RNAcentral. Lineage: Eukaryota; Viridiplantae; Streptophyta; Magnoliopsida; Malvales; Malvaceae.
UGAUUUACCAAAUUCUAUUACUAAUUAAAUAUAUACAAACAUUUAAUAUUCACAACCACAAUUCAAACUAUUUCAUUUCCAAACCAACCCUAUACAUCCCAAAUAAACCAAAAAUUACAUUGCAAAAACUACCGGAUUAAAUUGGAUAGUGUAGCUUGAUAUGUUGAUUCAAUCUCCCGACUACACGUUAAUCUACAAGAACAUUAAACAACACGAGUAAGCUUAAUGAAACUAAUUAGUAAGUUCAAUAGGUUAAACAUUGAUCUUACCGAACUUAAUAUAAUAAAUUAAAUUGUAAAUAAAUCAUAUUGUAAAUAAAUCAUACAUUUUUCCCUGUCAAAUACAAUAUAAAUCCAUAAACACAAUUCCUUCAGAUCAAUAUCAAUAAUAAUCUAUAAAUCUUUCAAUUCAAUCACAUAAGUCUUUUACCAUUUCUUACUGAAUCGAAGAACGGCUUACGGAUAUGAGUACAUCGUUUUCUUUGUGCCAUAGUCCAACUAUGGUCUUACACAUGCAUUGCCAUGGCCCUACCAUGAUCUUACAUUUGUAGUGCCAUAACCCAAUUAUGGUCUUAUCAUCAAAAUGCCAUAGCCCAGCUAUGAUCUUACACACAUAUAUAUAUAUUGCCAUGGUCCAACCAUGGUUUUACUUUCAAUGUGUCAUAACCCAGUUACGGUCUUUUCAUUAAAAUGUCAUAGCCCAGCUAUGGUCUUACAUUUAAACACUGCCAUGGUCCAACCAUGGUCUUAUCCGUCAAUUCAUUCUUUGCCACGGGACGAUCGUACUCAAUCCCGUGUUCUACUAAUUUAAAACAUUCAAUUCAAUUUUCAUACUUUUACAAUAAUCUUAAUUUCAACAACAAAAUAUGAAUAAAUACAUUAUACCAUUCCUAAAUUAACAAAUAAUCAUGAAAGUUUAAUCAUAUGAACUUACCUGGGGUAGAUUUGUAGAAUUUGUAGUAGUUUAGGGACUAUUUUGUUAAUUUCCCUUUUUUCUCGUUGAUUUACGGGCUCUUGAUCUAAUAUAUAUUUAAUUACUCAUUCAUUAGAACAUAUUUAAAUUUUAAUUCACUUCACAAUUUAUACCCCUCAAUUUUUGAAAUUGCACGAUUACCCCACUUUUAUAGCUUUUGCAAUUUAGUCCCUCACCAAUUAACCCAUCAAAUGAGCUAAUUUUUUUUAAUUAACAUUUUAUCUAAAUAGUCUAAGCUAUUACAAAGACUUUGAUAAACAAAAUUUAAUACCAAACUCUAAGAUUUAGUAUUUUUCUCAAUUUGGUCCUAAAAUCAAUUUCUAUUGAAAUUACUUGAUAAAAUCAUCAUAUAACAAAAUUAAAGCUUCAAAUCCAUGUUAAUUCAUCAUGAAAAUUGAACACUCAUCAAUGGUAACUUUAAAAAUUACCCAUAAAAUAAAAAACCAAUGAAAUAGACAAUUGAACCUAGUUGUAAAAAUCAUAGAAACACAAAAAUUUCAAGAAAAGAGCAAGAAUUGAACUCACUUAUAGCAAAAUAUGAAAAGCAGCUUCUUAAGGGUUCUUCA